UACGAAGGGGGGCUAGCGUUGCUCGGAAUGACUGGGCGUAAAGGGCGCGUAGGCGGAUGGCACAGUCAGAUGUGAAAUUCCCGGGCUUAACCUGGGGGCUGCAUUUGAUACGUGUGAUCUAGAGUGAGGAAGAGGGGUCGUGGAAUUCCCAGUGUAGAGGUGAAAUUCGUAGAUAUUGGGAAGAACACCGGUGGCGAAGGCGGGUCUCUGGGCAGUAACUGACGCUGAGGAGCGAAAGCGUGGGGGAGCGAACAGG
Molecule: ribosomal RNA, 256 nt
Filed under: uncultured bacterium
Lineage: Bacteria
Description: partial 16S ribosomal RNA
Rfam family: Bacterial small subunit ribosomal RNA
Source: RNAcentral